Molecule: transfer RNA, 72 nt
Filed under: Phrynosoma platyrhinos (Desert horned lizard)
Lineage: Eukaryota; Metazoa; Chordata; Lepidosauria; Squamata; Phrynosomatidae
Description: tRNA-OTHER
Source: RNAcentral
GCCAUCAUAGCAUAGUGGUUUAAGUGUUGGACUGUGACUCUGGAGACCAGGGUUUGAAUCCCAGCUCAGCCA